This 498-nucleotide ribosomal RNA is filed under the name uncultured bacterium. RNAcentral describes it as "partial 16S ribosomal RNA". It matches the Rfam family "Bacterial small subunit ribosomal RNA", at positions 28 to 507 of the family's 1533-position model. The record is from RNAcentral.
GAUGAACGCUGGCGGCGUGCCUAAUACAUGCAAGUCGAGCGAACUUUUGGGAGCUUGCUCCCAAAAGUUAGCGGCGGACGGGUGAGUAACACGUGGGUAACCUGCCUGUAAGACCGGGAUAACUUCGGGAAACCGGAGCUAAUACCGGAUAACAUUGAAGACCUCAUGGCCUUCAAUUAAAAGGUGGCUUUUAGCUACCACUUACAGAUGGACCCGCGGCGCAUUAGCUAGUUGGUGAGGUAACGGCUCACCAAGGCGACGAUGCGUAGCCGACCUGAGAGGGUGAUCGGCCACACUGGGACUGAGACACGGCCCAGACUCCUACGGGAGGCAGCAGUAGGGAAUCUUCCGCAAUGGACGAAAGUCUGACGGAGCAACGCCGCGUGAGCGAAGAAGGCCUUCGGGUCGUAAAGCUCUGUUGUUAGGGAAGAACAAGUAUCGUUCGAAUAGGGCGGUACCUUGACGGUACCUAACCAGAAAGCCACGGCUAACUACGUG